This is a non-coding RNA of Podarcis lilfordi (Lilford's wall lizard), 453 nucleotides long. NCBI's taxonomy places the organism in Eukaryota, Metazoa, Chordata, Lepidosauria, Squamata, Lacertidae. The record is from the annotation of a GenBank genome assembly.
AAAUGAUAUUUAUUGAAAAUUUUUAAAAUUACAGAAAAAAACACAGCAGAAAAAGAAAAAAGAGAAAACAAAGAGAAAACAAACCGCAUCCAACAAUGCAGAUUCAAAAAACAAAAAUACACCACAAACAGAUAAAAACAAAUCCAUCAUUCUCGAAUCCUCAACUUUCAUUACCUUCUUUCUUUGACCUCCUCCUCCUCCCUUUUUUUGUAUCCUAGUUAUUAAUUAUCGCAGCAAAUCCUUUCCAUAUUUCAUAAUAUUCUGUCAUUACAUUACCUUAAUCUAUUUUCAUCUUAUCUUAUAGAAAACCUUAAAACUUAAAACUUAAAUCUUAUUUUUACCAACUUCUCAUAACCAUAAUAUUCUUACCUAAUUCUUUAAACAUUUUUGCUAGAGCCAAGUAAUUUCGUUCCAACAUUUUUCUAACAUUCAUCAAUUUUAUAAAACAAUCCU